AUUGAACGCUGGCGGCAGGCCUAACACAUGCAAGUCGAGCGGAGCGGCGGACGGGUGAGUAAUGCAUAGGAAUCUGCCUGGUAGUGGGGGAUAACGUACGGAAACGGGCGCUAAUACCGCAUACUAUCAGAUGAGCCUAGGUCGGAUUAGAUAGUUGGUGGGGUAAAGGCCGACCAAUGCGACGAUCCGUAACUGGGCUGAGAGGAUGAUCAGUCACACUGGAACUUCGACACGGUCCAGACUCCUACGGGAGGCAGCCGUGGGGAAUAUUGGACAAUGGGCGCAAGCCUGAUCCAGCCAUGCCGCGUGUGUGAAGGAGGUCUUCGGAUUGUAAAGCACUUUAAGUUGGGAGGCGUUACCAACAGAAUAAGCACCGGCUAACUUCGUGCCAGCAGCCGCGGUAAUUC
RNAcentral lists this ribosomal RNA (407 nucleotides) under uncultured bacterium. Its description in RNAcentral is "partial 16S ribosomal RNA". It matches the Rfam family "Bacterial small subunit ribosomal RNA", at positions 30 to 526 of the family's 1533-position model. The record is from RNAcentral.